UCGCGGCUUAUCACCGGCAGUCUCCUUAGAGUGCUCAACUAAAUGGUAGCAACUAAGGACGGGGGUUGCGCUCGUUGCGGGACUUAACCCAACAUCUCACGACACGAGCUGACGACAGCCAUGCAGCACCUGUGCAUACUGGUAUUGCUACCUCGUCAGGCUUUCACCCUUCUACUAUAUGCAUGUCAAGGCCAGGUAAGGUUCUUCGCGUUGCAUCGAAUUAAGCCACAUACUCCACCGCAUGUGCAGGCCCCCGUCAAUUCCUUCGAGUUUCAGCCUUGCGACUGUACUCCCCAGGCGGCAUAUUUAACGCGUUAGCUCCGGCACAGAUCAACUGAAUGACCUACACCAAAUAUGCAUCGUUUAGGGCGUGGACUAC
This 379-nucleotide unclassified non-coding RNA is filed under the name uncultured bacterium. RNAcentral's name for it is "contains 16S-23S intergenic spacer region". The record is from RNAcentral.